UACGUAGGGUGCGAGCGUUAAUCGGAAUUACUGGGCGUAAAGCGUGCGCAGGCGGUCUGUUAAGACCGAUGUGAAAUCCCCGGGCUUAACCUGGGAACUGCAUUGGUGACUGGCAGGCUUCGAGUGUGGCAGAGGGAGGUAGAAUUCCACGUGUAGCGGUGAAAUGCGUAGAGAUGUGGAGGAAUACCGAUGGCGAAGGCAGCCUCCUGGGCCAACACUGACGCUCAUGCACGAAAGCGUGGGGAGCAAACAGG
Molecule: ribosomal RNA, 254 nt
Filed under: uncultured bacterium
Lineage: Bacteria
Description: partial 16S ribosomal RNA
Rfam family: Bacterial small subunit ribosomal RNA
Source: RNAcentral